Molecule: ribosomal RNA, 373 nt
Filed under: uncultured organism
Description: partial 16S ribosomal RNA
Rfam family: Bacterial small subunit ribosomal RNA
Source: RNAcentral
GUAGGUGGCAAGCGUUGUCCGGAAUUAUUGGGGCGUAAAGCGCGCGCAGGCGGUUCUUUAAGUCUGAUGUGAAAGCCCACGGGCUCAACCGUGGAGGGUCAUUGGAAACUGGAGAACUUGAGUACAGAAGAGGAAAGCGGAAUUCCACGUGUAGCGGUGAAAUGCGUAGAGAUGUGGAGGAACACCAGUGGCGAAGGCGGCUUUCUGGUCUGUAACUGACGCUGAGGCGCGAAAGCGUGGGGAGCAAACAGGAUUAGAUACCCUGGCAGUCCACGCCGUAAACGAUGAGUGCUAAGUGUUAGGGGGUUUCCGCCCCUUAGUGCUGCAGCUAACGCAUUAAGCACUCCGCCUGGGGAGUACGGCCGCAAGGCUG